This is a long non-coding RNA of Harpegnathos saltator (Jerdon's jumping ant), 246 nucleotides long. RefSeq lists it as uncharacterized. The transcript is spliced from 2 exons. The record is from RefSeq and is a predicted model, not a curated record. NCBI's taxonomy places the organism in Eukaryota, Metazoa, Arthropoda, Insecta, Hymenoptera, Formicidae.
CGAGCUGUUCCCGAAUGACUUGUUCUUGCCUUUUUAAUCGUCGUUUUCUUCGCAGGACUGAAAGAAUAAUGAUGUGACGCAAUCUUUGCCGCGCAUAUGGAGUCGCUUUCCGCAGCCGUUUGCCGGAGCUCACCGCAUGCAUGGAGUCUUAGCUUAACGGUUGUCCGAUCUACCGGCAACCUCCGGUCAUGUAUUGUAUACAAUAACAUUUGUGUUCGUAUAAUAAAGUCUGUGCUGUGAUUACAA